This 255-nucleotide ribosomal RNA is filed under the name Salmonella enterica subsp. enterica serovar Kentucky. RNAcentral's name for it is "partial 23S ribosomal RNA". It matches the Rfam family "Bacterial large subunit ribosomal RNA", at positions 1436 to 1693 of the family's 2925-position model. Lineage: Bacteria; Pseudomonadati; Pseudomonadota; Gammaproteobacteria; Enterobacterales; Enterobacteriaceae. The record is from RNAcentral.
UUCCCGUACUUGGUGUUACUGCGAAGGGGGGACGGAGAAGGCUAUGUUGGCCGGGCGACGGUUGUCCCGGUUUAAGCGUGUAGGCUGGUGUUCCAGGUAAAUCCGGAACAUCAAGGCUGAGGCGUGACGACGAGGCACUACGGUGCUGAAGCAACAAAUGCCCUGCUUCCAGGAAAAGCCUCUAAGCAUCAGGUAACAUCAAAUCGUACCCCAAACCGACACAGGUGGUCAGGUAGAGAAUACCAAGGCGCUUGA